GGCACAUGGGAAUAUAGUCAUUGUAGACCUAAAUAACAAGAUCCAAAGAAAUCAGUGUUUACAAGGACUAACAUCUGUGGGAAAAAUAAACAUCAUGAUAUGUUCAAAAAAUAACAUGUAUUUAAAGAGAAAAAACCACACAAAAGAACACCCGCCGCUAAUAGCAAAAUUUUCUACAGGAACUGAUUGCUGGAAUUAGUUGCACACGGCCAAACUAGACAUGGGAAAAGGAGGAUAGGAAAAUAUGAUGUGGAGGGAACAAAAUAACACCAAAUACAAAAUGGAUGAUUACACUAUGUACAAACAAUUGCACUAUGCUAAUGCCAACACCACAACCACCAAGACCAGAAUUUCUGAGGAAAUUUUGUUUCAACCGGUAAUUUCAGCCAAAUGGAGAGGGAACAGGAACCACAAGUGCAUCCGAUCUUUUAAUGCUACCCAUACCACAAAUAAUACAGCCAGGUGAUGACAGAGCAGAGAACUUGGCUCCACAUAGAUCGCACACAUCAUAACCAAUGGUUGAUAGACGGCUAAGCGUAGCAGCACAGAACUGGGAUGGAUCUUCUUGUGGAUCAAUUGACUUGUUGGACAAUCCCCUUUGAACACAUAUGUCAACUAAGCUCCUCAAUUCGUCUUGCUUGCCUGGAGGCGCCUUAGAUAAUAGAAGUUCAAGCAUCUGCUUGGAAUAGCCAUAAUUUUGUACGUCCAUGUUCCUCUUGAUAGCAGUUCGAAUACAAUUUAUCCUGUGCUUAGCGAGAAGAGGCAGUGAACCCAAGUGUCGAGACAAUCGUGCCAUUUCAUCCUUUGCACUGAUUGCACUUGGCCCCUGAACUCUUUGCAGUCGGCUGAUUUCCUGAAGCAGAGUGACUGCAAUUUUGUAUUGUGCACAUAUUGUAGCUUGAGCUUUUAUGUCAGCUCCACGAGAUUGAUCCUUAGCCAAUGCCAAGAAAGCUUCAUCAAAACAGGAUAAUGCAUCUGGCAGCUGAUUUUGCUCAAGAUGGGCAAGACCAGUCUUGAAGCAAAGUGGAGCAACAGCCCCACGAGGAACUUGUCCAGGACGCACAGCUUUUGGAGGAGAAGAUGGGCGUGCAGAAGGUUGUCCUGAACCUGGAGCUUCAAGAGAACUGAGAUCAAGAGGUUGGUUGGACACGGGAGGGUUUGACAUCUGAACAUGAGGUUGCAGACCAGAAGGUUGAGCGAACUGCUGCGGAGGAACACCACCAUCAGGAAGACCUACCACAUCAAGUGAAACAGGUCGUUGAGUAGCUUGAGGGGGGACACCACCAUCAGGUAGACCAACAUCAACUGCAGAUGCACCACCCUGGCUAGGUUGCAUUUUAGUGGCUUCAGCACCUUGAGAAUUUUGAUCCAGCUUAGAAAGGUAAGUCCCAGGAGGAGGUAAUGAUGCCGCAACAUGGACGGAUGAUAUAGUAUUCUGGAAGAAGUCCUCCGGAAUGGGCCCUGCAGCAACUCCAGCACCCACUGCCUUAGGAGCAAGAUUCGGCAUAGAUGCAGAUUGUGUCAAUGAAUUUGUUCCAAAAGGAUCAGCAGAUGUUGAAACCACUGGAGCUGUGACUGACCCAUUGGUUGCAGAAGAAGGUGGAGGUACAAGUAGGCUAAGUUCUGGGGAUGAACUAGUUAAUGAUUUUGUUCUACUAAUCGGCAGGCCCAGCUGUUUUGUGGCUUCUUUUAUCUUGUUCACAUCCACUGUAGCAGAUGUCACAGGUUUGUCUCGAAUUCUUAUGUGUAAUUUUUUUGUUUUUGAUGUUUCUUCUUCAUCACUGCUGGUACCGUCAGCAGCAGACCCAUACAGUGAUUUCUUGAAUUCUUCUUCUGCUUUUGUUUGCUCAUCUACCACACCAGAACUGGCAACUAUCUUGCCAAGGCUUUCUAGUCCCAUUAACAUUUCACCCUCAGGCAACCCUUUAACCUGGUUAGCUGCCGAUGCAGCUAAAGAUUUUUGAGGCUCAUUUGCCUUGUCUUUAGCAUUUUCAGCUUUGAAUGCCUUCACCAAACUAUCUUCUCUCACUUCCACGAUGUUACCUCUUCCUUUUAUCAAACCUAGGUAAACACCUAUGUGAUCCGUGACAAUUGAUGGAAUUGUGCCAUCAUCGGUUCUCAUGUACGGCAUCACCUCAGCAGCAAGCUCCCACUGAGGAAUGCUCUUCAGAUUGGUUGGUGUCUUGAUUUCCCAAUUACCACCACCCCAUUCUGAUCCUUUAGGUACCAUACUUUCAGCUGCAAAAUUUGCAAAGAUACCUUGUGUCCACCCAGUUGAGCGCACCCGAAGGAUCCUUUCACAAUACCGUCGUAAUUCUGAGUCAGCACUUUCAUCUUCUAGUUUCUGUGCUAGUCGCCGCAUAGCACUUGGGUUAAGGUGGCAUAUAAAUAGGUCAAGCAAGCUUUCAUAGUCUGAUAUGACUUCAAAAGUUUCUUUAGCAUUGUCAAACUGAGCAUAUUUUAUACAAGCAUAUCCCAACUGGCGGAAGCGCUGGAACAAAUGUGAAGUUGGGGGGCAUCUUGGAUAAUCUCUUGAACGCAAAAAUUCGUCCUUUAAGACAGACAGUGCAGUAGAAAAUCGGAGCGCCUUGAUUGCAUAUGUACCUCUCAAUACCUGAGUGAAUUGUGGGCCUGACUGGGAUAAUGAAACAGCAAGAUCACCACAAACUGGUGGACCUCUAGCAAGUAUGUCAAGAGAUCUAGGAGUUAUUCGUAGACUGUCAAACCUUGAGGUUAUCUGAUAUAGGAUCUCUGAGAGGUCAAGCUUCUGUUCAAAAUGUUGUUGCAUUGUUGAAAACCCAACAAGGAGAGGUUCAAGAAGUCCAACAAGGCAGUUUUUGAUUUCAACCCCUUUCUUUUGCCUAGGAUUUAUAUCUGUAGGGUUAGCAAGCAGCAGCCGAUCAUUCAAAGCUCCAAGCAGUACUGCAUUAGGCAUGCUAAUUGAAAGUAUAGUCCUCACUUUGCCAUCCCAUCCAAGCACACUAACAGCAGUGGCAGUUGAAAAAAGAAGUGCAGGCCCAAGCCAUAGAAUAGAUCUAUAUGAAGGAAGUCCUUUGUCAAACUUAGUAGAACUGCAUGCCAGUAUAUCUAGAUCUGCGGAAACAAUAAGCACCCUAUGUGUGGUCAAUACACCAGCAACGUAGCCCCUGAGAGUUUCUUGCCAUUGCACCUGGAGGACAAUCUCAUUUACUUUCAAUUUGAUAAAUUUUCUUCCUUCUGCUUUAGUUGAUAUGUAAUGGCCAUCAGCAUUUGAAAGGCGGUAAUUUUGAACCAGUUU
RNAcentral lists this unclassified non-coding RNA (3277 nucleotides) under Hevea brasiliensis (rubber tree). The record is from RNAcentral. Lineage: Eukaryota; Viridiplantae; Streptophyta; Magnoliopsida; Malpighiales; Euphorbiaceae.